This 2070-nucleotide long non-coding RNA is filed under the name Salmo salar (Atlantic salmon). Its description in RNAcentral is "lncRNA (ENSSSAG00000083167.1)". The record is from RNAcentral. Lineage: Eukaryota; Metazoa; Chordata; Actinopteri; Salmoniformes; Salmonidae.
UAACCUGUUAGGGCUAGGGGGCAGUAUUGACACGGCUGGAUAAAAAACGUACCCGAUUUAAUCUGGUUACUACUCCUGCCCAGGAACUAGAAUAUGCAUAUAAUUAUUGGCUUUGGAUAGAAAACACCCUAAAGUUUCUAAAACUGUUUGAAUGGUGUCUGUGAGUAUAACAGAACUCAUAUGGCAGGCAAAAACCUGAGAAGAUUUCAUGCAGGAAGUGGCCUGUCUGACAAGGUGUCGUUCUUCUUGUCUCUGUUUAUUGAAGAGUGAGGAUCUUAGCUGUCCCGUGACACUUCCUACGGCUGCCAUAGGCUCUCAGAAGGCAGCAAAAUGCUGAAUCGUGGCUUUGCAGGCUCUGGCUGAAACAAAGUAGCGCGUUUGGGUAGUGGCUGGUUACAGUACUGUGAGACUCAGGCUCGUGCCCGCGUCGACCGAAAGCUUUGUUUUCUUUCCUCUGUUUAGCUAAAUGGACAUUCCCGGUCGGAAUAUUAUCGCUUUUUUACGAGAAAAAUGGCAUAAAAAUGGAUUUUAAACAGCGGUUAACAUGCUUCGAAGUACGGUAAUGGAAUAUUUCGAUUUUUUUCUGUCACGAAUUGCGCCAUGCGCGCGACCCUUAUUUACCAUUUCGGAUAGUGUCUGGAACGCACGAACAAAACGCCGCUAUUCGGAUAUAACGAUGGAUUAUUUUGGACCAAACCAACAUUUGUUAUUGAAGUAGCAGUCCUGGGAGUGCAUUCUGACGAAGACAACAAAAGGUUAUGAGAAUCUACCGUCUGAAGCUGAAGCAAUACCCUUUACCCAAGGACUGUACCUGAAAUGAUACAAGAUCACCGGUGAAUUGUUCAUUAGAAAAGUCCUUAUCAAUCAGUGGAACGGAAGAAGAAUUCCUCACUACCGGCAGACUGUCAGAACAUCAUUUCUAAUAGUUAUCUAUGUGGGACUGAUACCAGUGUGGAAGAGCUGAUCAAUUUUAAAGUUCUUGCUGAGUGAUUACCUUGCCAAUAGGACGAUUGAAUAUUAUAGUCUUGUAGACAAUUAUUUAUUUUGUGAGUUUCCUCCUAAUACAGGAUGUGGUAGGAAUCGUAAGGGACAUCAUCAUUACACAUGUUAAUACUUAUCUUCUAUAACUUUGUUUGAAAUCUAUUUCUUAUUGUAACAGAAAGUAAAAUAUGCCCUUUGUGUUUUAUAGAAAUGCAAGGUGUUUAAUGAAAAUUAUUUUAUGCUUACUGCUGUUUUUAAUACUGUUUUCUAAAAACACAUUUUAAGUAUAUUUCUUCUUAAAAUGGUCGAGAGGGGAGUGUAAGAACAUUUCGAAGAAAAUACACAACGCAGAGGACGAGAGGUCAAUAGAGUACUAACGAUCAAUGGAAAUAGUGUUUUUUCUGUCAUAUCAUUGGGUCAGAGACAUGGAGGAAUUUCAGUCCGGGACUCAUAGCUACAUGGCAAGCUCUCAUUUGUCCAAAUUAUUUAUACAUUGAACCUGAAAUAGUAUACUUGUUACUUGGCCAUUGGCCCAGUUUUAUUGCAAGGAAUUCUAAUUGGUCGACCACAGGCUAGGGCUGGGUUAUAAAACUACAUCCUGUCCCUUUGUUCUGUGGAGAGAACUACAGGAAAGAAUCACUGAGGACAGGGGAGCAUGAACAUCUACCAUCUACCUCCCCGGAUGAUGUGUUCUCUUUGAAUAAACCUAUUUUCCUCCCCCUGAUUUGCUUUGGGGUCUGUGUUAUUGAAGCAUUGUCACGUCCUGACCAGUAAAAGGGGUUAUUUGUUAUUGUAGUUUGGUCAGGACGUGGCAGGGGUGUGUUUGUUUAGUAUGUUUCGGGGUUUUUGGUUUAUGUUUUCUAUUUCUAUGUGGGUUUUUUAGUUUGUCUAUUUCUAUGUUAGUUUUGGGAACGACCUCCAAUUAGAAGCAGCUGGUUGUCGUUGCUUCUAAUUGGAGGCCAUAUUUAAGUGGGUUUAUUUUCUCUUGUGUUUGUGGGUGGUUGUUCCAUGUAUAGUCUUAGUACCUUACAGGACUGUUUUUCGAUGUUCUUUUGUUCAGUGUUCAUUUCUUUAAUAAAUCAAGAAGAU